CACAUUUAUUAGUCGGCAUUGAAUUUGAACCUUAGCGUUUUAGUUAGUGAAGGAUAACCCUCAGUUGUCAUCUGUCUGCGUCACUAUUUGUUACCUUUUCUCCCAUUCAAAGAAGAGGAAUUGAAUCGAUGAUAGAUUUUAGUUUCUAAGUGUCCCUAUGUCCAUCAUCAAAGCAGUUGGAGAUUAGAUUGACAUAAGUGAAC
RNAcentral lists this long non-coding RNA (203 nucleotides) under Linum usitatissimum (flax). RNAcentral's name for it is "long non-coding RNA (LUSI_LNC000064)". Lineage: Eukaryota; Viridiplantae; Streptophyta; Magnoliopsida; Malpighiales; Linaceae. The record is from RNAcentral.